This 61-nucleotide transfer RNA is filed under the name Pontoscolex corethrurus. RNAcentral's name for it is "tRNA-Arg". The record is from RNAcentral. Lineage: Eukaryota; Metazoa; Annelida; Clitellata; Crassiclitellata; Glossoscolecidae.
AAACAUUAAGCAUAACUCAUGCGUACCGAUUUCGACUCGGUAAGAGCCUUGGCAAUGUUUU